This 253-nucleotide ribosomal RNA is filed under the name uncultured bacterium. RNAcentral's name for it is "partial 16S ribosomal RNA". It matches the Rfam family "Bacterial small subunit ribosomal RNA", at positions 524 to 776 of the family's 1533-position model. The record is from RNAcentral.
UACGGGGGGGGCAAGCGUUGUUCGGAAUUACUGGGCGUAAAGGGCUCGUAGGCGGCCAACUAAGUCAGACGUGAAAUCCCUCGGCUUAACCGGGGAACUGCGUCUGAUACUGGAUGGCUUGAGGUUGGGAGAGGGAUGCGGAAUUCCAGGUGUAGCGGUGAAAUGCGUAGAUAUCUGGAGGAACACCGGUGGCGAAGGCGGCAUCCUGGACCAAUACUGACGCUCAUGUGCGAAAGCGUGGGGAGCAAACAGG